RNAcentral lists this ribosomal RNA (1016 nucleotides) under Scaphocalanus polaris. RNAcentral describes it as "SSU rRNA". It matches the Rfam family "Eukaryotic small subunit ribosomal RNA", at positions 53 to 1070 of the family's 1831-position model. The record is from RNAcentral. Lineage: Eukaryota; Metazoa; Arthropoda; Copepoda; Calanoida; Scolecitrichidae.
GCAUGUCUAAGUACAAGCCUCACUAAGGUGAAACCGCGAAUGGCUCAUUAAAUCACACCUAAUCUACUGGAUAGUUAACAGUUACUUGGAUAACUGCGGUAAUUCUGGAGCUAAUACAUGCACAAAGCCCCGAACUUACGUGAGGGGCGCUUUUAUUAGAUCAAAACCGAACGGCUCCGGCUGCUCUCUUGGUGACUCUGAAUAACUUUGGGCUGAUCGCAUAGCCUAGCGCUGGCGACAUAUCCUUCGAAGGUGUGCCCUAUCAACUGUCGACUGUGGCAUAGACGCCCACAGUGGUUUUGACGGGUAACGGGGAAUCAGGGUUCGAUUCCGGAGAGGGAGCCUUAAAAACGGCUACCACAUCUAAGGAAGGCAGCAGGCACGCAAAUUACCCAAUGACCGAAGGUCGAGGUAGUGACGAAAAAUAACGAUACGGGACUCAUCUGAGGCCCCGUAAUCGGAAUGAGUACACUUUAAAACCGUCCCCGAGGAUCUAUUGGAGGGCAAGUCUGGUGCCAGCAGCCGCGGUAAUUCCAGCUCCAAUAGCGUAUAUUAAAGUUGUUGUGGUUAAAAAGCUCGUAGUUGGAUCUCGGCGGUCUGAGGGCGGUUCACUUGCUAGUGCUACUGCCCUAUAGACCGUAGUUUUGCCAGAGGUCUCAGGGUGCUCUUAACCGAGUGUCUUGUGAUGCUGGCAGGUUUACUUUGAAAAAAUUAGAGUGCUCAAAGCAGGCUUUUACGCCUGAAUAUUCGUGCAUGGAAUAAUAGAAUAGGAAGUCGUUUCUAUUUUGUUGGUUUUCGGAAAUCGACUUAAUGAUUAAUAGGGACAGUCGGGGGCAUUUGUAUUCAAACGACAGAGGUGAAAUUCUUGGACCGUUUGAAGACAAACUACUGCGAAAGCAUUUGCCAAGAAUGUUUUCAUUAAUCAAGAACGAAAGUUAGAGGUUCGAAGGCGAUUAGAUACCGCCCUAGUUCUAACCAUAAACGAUGCCAGCUAGCGAUCUGCCGACGUUUUUUUU